RNAcentral lists this ribosomal RNA (467 nucleotides) under uncultured bacterium. Its description in RNAcentral is "partial 16S ribosomal RNA". It matches the Rfam family "Bacterial small subunit ribosomal RNA", at positions 28 to 507 of the family's 1533-position model. The record is from RNAcentral.
GACGAACGCUGGCGGCGUGCUUAACACAUGCAAGUCGAACGGAAAGGCCUCUUUCGGGGGGUACUCGAGUGGCGAACGGGUGAGUAACACGUGAGUAACCUGCCCUUGACUUUGGGAUAACUUCAGGAAACUGGGGCUAAUACCGGAUAGGAGCUCCUGCUGCAUGGUGGGGGUUGGAAAGUUUCGGCGGUUGGGGAUGGACUCACGGCUUAUCAGCUUGUUGGUGGGGUAGUGGCUUACCAAGGCUUUGACGGGUAGCCGGCCUGAGAGGGUGACCGGCCACAUUGGGACUGAGAUACGGCCCAGACUCCUACGGGAGGCAGCAGUGGGGAAUAUUGCACAAUGGGUGGAAGCCUGAUGCAGCAACGCCGUGUGCGGGAUGACGGCCUUCGGGUUGUAAACCGCUUUCGCUCAUGACGAAGCUUUGUGUGACGGUAGUGGGUAAAGAAGCACCGGCUAACUACGUG